Carassius auratus (goldfish) is the source of this 369-nucleotide long non-coding RNA. RefSeq lists it as uncharacterized. The transcript has 3 exons. The record is from RefSeq and is a predicted model, not a curated record. NCBI's taxonomy places the organism in Eukaryota, Metazoa, Chordata, Actinopteri, Cypriniformes, Cyprinidae.
AACACCAACAAGGUGAUAAACGCCCACUUUUGCUCUGGAGAGACCGAAGUCUCUCUUGAAAAACCAGCUCAGUCCAUCUGUUAGACAGCUGGUGGCAGUGUUGAGUCGUUCUUCUGUAUUUUGGCAGGGUUUCACAGCUUAAAUCGAUUCUAUCGCCAGCCGAGGUUGCACAAGCUGUUUGGACUCUCAUUCCAACGGCACCUAUUCACUGCAGGGAAUCCAUUACUUAGAAAGGAUGCAAUGCAGAACUUCCCCAUGUAGAAACAAACUCAUCAACAUCUCUGAUGGCCUGGGGGACAGCCCCAAGAAUGGUUAACUUCCAGGCUGAUGUUCUUACUCAACUACUAAACCAAGAAGAGGAGAUGUAAC